GACGUAGGGCGCGAGCGUUGUCCGGAUUUAUUGGGCGUAAAGAGCUCGUAGGCGGCUUGUUGCGUCGGCUGUGAAAACCCGCGGCUUAACCGCGGGCCUGCAGUCGAUACGGGCGGACUGGAGUUCGGCAGGGGAGACUGGAAUUCCUGGUGUAGCGGUGAAGUGCGCAGAUAUCAGGAGGAACACCGGUGGUGUAGACGGCUUUCUGGACCGUAACUGACGCUGAGACACGAAAGCGUGGGUAGCAAACAGG
This 253-nucleotide ribosomal RNA is filed under the name uncultured bacterium. Its description in RNAcentral is "partial 16S ribosomal RNA". It matches the Rfam family "Bacterial small subunit ribosomal RNA", at positions 524 to 776 of the family's 1533-position model. The record is from RNAcentral.